AGCGAACGCUGGCGGCAGGCCUAACACAUGCCAGUCGAACGAACUCUUCGGAGUUAGUGGCGGACGGGUGAGUAACACGUGGGAACGUGCCUUUUGGUUCGGCAUAACUCAGGGAAACUUGUGCUAAUACCGAAUGUGCCCUUCGGGGGAAAGAUUUAUCGCCAUUAGAGCGGCCCGCGUCUGAUUAGCUAGUUGGUGAGGUAACGGCGCACCAAGGCGACGAUCAGUAACUGGUCUGAGAGGAUGACCAGCCACACUGGGACUGAGACACGGCCCAGACUCCUACGGGAGGCAGCAGUGGGGAAUCUUGCGCAAUGGGCGAAAGCCUGACGCAGCCAUGCCGCGUGAAUGAUGAAGGUCUUAGGAUUGUAAAAUUCUUUCACCGGGGACGAUAAUGACGGUACCCGGAGAAGAAGCCCCGGCUAACUUCGUG
Molecule: ribosomal RNA, 433 nt
Filed under: uncultured bacterium
Lineage: Bacteria
Description: partial 16S ribosomal RNA
Rfam family: Bacterial small subunit ribosomal RNA
Source: RNAcentral